GACGAACGCUGGCGGCGUGCUUAACACAUGCAAGUCGAACGGAAAGGCCCUGCUUUUGUGGGGUGCUCGAGUGGCGAACGGGUGAGUAACACGUGAGUAACCUGCCCUUGACCUUGGGAUAACUUCAGGAAACUGGGGCUAAUACCGGAUAGGCGCUCCUGCUGCAUGGUGGGGGUUGGAAAGUUUCGGCGGUUGGGGAUGGACUCGCGGCUUAUCAGCUUGUUGGUGGGGUAGUGGCUUACCAAGGCUUUGACGGGUAGCCGGCCUGAGAGGGUGACCGGCCACAUUGGGACUGAGAGACGGCCCAGACUCCUACGGGAGGCAGCAGUGGGGAAUAUUGCACAAUGGGCGGAAGCCUGAUGCAGAAACGCCGCGUGCGGGAUGACGGCCUUCGGGUUGUAAACCGCUUUCGCCUGUGACGAAGCGUGAGUGACGGUAAUGGGUAAAGAAGCACCGGCUAACUACGUG
This 468-nucleotide ribosomal RNA is filed under the name uncultured bacterium. Its description in RNAcentral is "partial 16S ribosomal RNA". It matches the Rfam family "Bacterial small subunit ribosomal RNA", at positions 28 to 507 of the family's 1533-position model. The record is from RNAcentral.